UACAGAGGGUGCAAGCGUUAAUCGGAAUUACUGGGCGUAAAGCGAACGUAGGCGGUUAUCUAAGUCGGAUGUGAAAUCCCCGGGCUCAACCUGGGAAUUGCAUUCGAGACUGGGUGGCUAGAAUGCGGAAGAGGGAAGCGGAAUUUCCGGUGUAGCGGUGAAAUGCGUAGAUAUCGGAAGGAACAUCAGUGGCGAAAGCGGCUUCCUGGUCCAGCAUUGACGCUCAGGUUCGAAAGCGUGGGGAGCAAACAGG
This 253-nucleotide ribosomal RNA is filed under the name uncultured bacterium. Its description in RNAcentral is "partial 16S ribosomal RNA". It matches the Rfam family "Bacterial small subunit ribosomal RNA", at positions 524 to 776 of the family's 1533-position model. The record is from RNAcentral.